This 4691-nucleotide long non-coding RNA is filed under the name Octopus vulgaris (common octopus). The record is from RNAcentral. Lineage: Eukaryota; Metazoa; Mollusca; Cephalopoda; Octopoda; Octopodidae.
UCUUAAUAUAGAGUUUUGUUAUAUUGAAACUGUAAAACGUGCUGUCCAAAAGCAUAGUGGUCAGUCGUUGACCAUUGACAAUAGGAAUAUGUCACAAUAGUGAAAUAUAGAUUAUUAACAAAGAUAAGCACAUCAUGUUAUACAACGCAAACCUUGAAAAUAUUCAUUUCAGAUAUUCCAACACAAAUUCACAGUGCCAGUCCCGUUCCCCUUUCUCAAUUACAUUCUGGAGAAGAUGAAUCAGAGGAAGAUAGUAAGUAUGAAAUAAUUUCAAGUUACCGAUUUCUAUACAUUUCACCUUCUCCCGAGCUUUUGUAUGUUAGAACGACUGAGUACAGAUUCUAUUCCUUAAUUAGAUUCGACAAGUUUUGUUGUAUAAUAAUUCUAUUCAAUAUAUCGAUAUUACUGAAAUUUCACAAAAUAUCGAACGAGGUUAGCGUGGUUUGUAAAAUGAAAAAUUGAAACGGGAAUAUAUUUAGUAUAGUUUUGAGAAAGAGAGAACUAGGUUAAUUUGUUUAGGAAUAUAAAUUUCGAGUUAAUGACAGCCAUUUUUGUCACACUUUUUAUCAUGUUUACUUGAAGGUUAUUAUUGUUAUUGUUGCUAUUUGAACGGAUGUUUCUCAUAAUCUAGAAGAAUUAUAAUGAAAUGCGUUCCAAGUGUAAACUCUCUGUUAUGUUACACUGGUAGUAAUUUUAUUAUUACAUCCACUACACAUUGUCUUUUCCCGAAUAGAAAACAUUUCUUUGCUACUGUGAUAAUCGGUAUCUGCCUUUCUUACUUCAUGAAAGAUACAGGUUGCACGAUGCAAGUGAAUCACAGGCAACAGGCCGAACAUUUCUCGUCAGAUUUCCAGGCUCCUAUGGACUAGAUGAGUUGUCACUGUCCAAGUCAGUUCUUCUUCAGAACGAAAUUAGUUAAUAUUUUGGUGGCUCUUAAUAAAGAGUUUUGUUAUAUUGAAUCUGUAAAGCGUGCUGACCAAAAGCAUAGUGGUCAGCCGUUGACCAUUAAAAAUAAAGAUAUCUUACGGUAAUGGAAUAUUUUUGAUUGAUAGAUAUAAUCAUAUUAUAGUGUAAAAUGUAAAACUUGAAAAUAUAUUUUUCCGACACAUAGUCGCAAACAACACUGUCUCCAAACUUUCCUAUGCUUGAAACAGAAUCAUUUGAUCAUGAGUAUAAAAUAUCAUUACCUUAUCGAUUACUGUAAAUUUUAACUUUACUGAAUGACUGACAACAUCUUCCAAUCCAAAUUUUGCAUUUGAAAAGUUUGAUGCAUAAUAAUUCUAUUAAAUAUUCGUUGUGCAAGAUUUUUUUAUGUGAAGUCGUUUGUUGAAACAUAUUAUUAUAUUUCGGAAUGGUCAUUUUGCCAGUUUACCCAAUAAAACAUAUCGAUAUUAUUGUAAUUUCACAAAAUAUCCGAUGUGGUGAGCAUGGUUUGUAAAAGGGAUAACUUCGAAGACAAUAGAUUUAAUAUUUCACUUUGGAAGAGAAAACUAAUAUUUGUAGUUGUUUAGCGAUAAACAUUCGUGUUAAUGACAUUUCUCUUUGUUUUACAUUUUCUACUAUGUUUGCUGAUAGAUUAAUGUUGUUAUUUUGGCUGAUAUUUCUAAAAAAGUACUUUGAAAUGUAUUUCAAGUAUAAGCAGUCUGUUUUAUUUCACAGAUAUUUCAUUACAUACGCUACACAUUGCCCUUAUCCAACUUACUUCUGUGAUAGUUGUUGUCUAUAUUUCUUACUUCGAAACAGAUACUGGUUGCAAGAUACUAUACAAUAAUUGACAAUCUCUUCAUCCUUCAUCGUCUGAUUACCACGCUCCCACCUCUUGAACGGAUAGCAGACACAUCUCAGUUAACCAUUCUAGGUUUUAUAUGAGGGUAUAAUUUCCUAAAACCAACCAUUUGAUAAAGUGUCCUAGGUGCAUUUUAUUGUGGUACAAGUAAAAGAAACGUUGAUGUCUUUCUAAUAAAACCUCAAAGAAAGUCAGGAAUUAAACUUUUAACUGAGAGAUUGCAGCAAGAAGGAGGCAAGGGCAAAAACUGCAUUAUAUAAGCAUUAUAUAAUAGUAAGGGUUUGUAGUAUAAAAUUGAAGGGAUUUAUGACUGAUAUAAGGCAGAAAGAGUUCACUUAUGAAAGGAAUCUGAAUCACAAUCAAUUGGCCAAUUGAAAUUAGUUUCAAUCCUUAAUGACAAGCUUUACGUGGAUGUACAUGCUAAGAGAUCACCUAUACACCUACAAAAUAAUUGAUAUGUGAUGGAAAGUGUGCAGAGGACUGGAAAUCCCUGACUUUCUUGGUUUGAAGGACAUGAAAUGUCAAACUGGGAUCAACACAAAAAGAAGAAUUGAAGUAAUUGGAAUGUUGUAUGGCUCGAUCGCUCUAAAGCAUAUGGUUGUGGACCAUACAAUUUAUUGAUGAAAUCAAUGAACUUCUUUGACAUACUGGGGCAAUUUUAAGGUCUGAUGAUGAGCUGUUAUAACAAUUUCAAAAGGCAGCUCAUUACAAACCAUUUUACAGGGACUGUCAUCGGAAUUGGAGCAGGGUGCACAAUAUUAAUCCUUCAGUUUCGAGAUGUUACUUAGAUCAGUAGUCUGCUCAAAAGAAAUGACCCAAGUGAAAGCACCAGACAAGACAGUCAUGGAUGACAUAAAAAUACUAUGUAGAGACCAAAAUGUUAUGCAAAUAUUUCUGGAUAGCCUGGGUGGACUGAUUACUUUGUCAAGAAUUUGACUUGAAGCAAAUAAAUAAUACAAUCUGUUAUUUGUGGAAGAUCAGCAGAACAAAGUGAAGUUCAAAGUAGCUGGAGAAACUAUGCAUACGUUUAGCUUUAAACUUAUAAAAGUUUCGGCCAGUGUUGCGCUGCCUCUUUGUCCAAUAAUUGUAAGGGCAUUAAGAUGAAAACGAAAACAUGGGAAUGGGUUAAAAGAAAGAGAAUAUUCGAAACUUGCUGGCAAACGUAAGAUUCAAUGCUUCCAGUUUGAUCUAUAUUUGCGUCAUGCUUAUAUAUGCUUAAUUGUCAGUUAUUGUGUAUCAUUGCGAAUAUGUUUAUGCAAUAGUAUGUAGAUGACCAGUUAAAUGUAGUUAAUAAGGUUUUGUGCAAGUGUACAAUGUUUCAGGAUACCUGAUGUCGCGAUGUCAGAUUGUUUGAAGUUGUCCAGUAAUUAGAAAUUGGUGUGCAGUAAUUAAUUGAUUUAUCUAAUUUAGUAAAAAGUCGUUUCUGUUUUGUUUAUUCGAUAAUUAUUUACUUCAUUCUCUGAUAAAAUUCGUGCUGGGGCGGGCUUAUCUCAAUUUUGUAUGUCUAUUAUGUGUCGGAGAGAGAAAUCUUACCACAUGUAGUUUAAUUUCUACUCAGCCCUUUAAUAGAUCUAUAACCAGAGGUAACUGGUUAUAGCCUCAGUGAAAAAUACAGAUCUAACCCGUGAGAUAUUCCAUUCUUUCAUUUUGUUAAUCAUCACACAAGGAACUGCUAAAAUGCUGCGUUUUGUUGUGUACGGCGGAUUGUGGUAGCAGUCAGGGUAGAAUAUGAUAUCUCUCCACCGUGCAGUUUGUAAUUGUACAUCUGAUCUCCUUCUAGUGUUAACGACUUUUGUAAUGGUCAAGUUAAACAUUGCCAGAUAAUCACGGAUUUCUCUCUAUAGUAGUAAGCUCAACUGGUGUAUAUCAGUAUUUUCAGCUAGCGAGACUACUGGUGUAGCUAUUUCUGUGUUUAUCGACAAUUAAUGGGACGGAAGUGUUUUGGAAAUGGUGUUGUAUGAACUGUGUGCAAUAUUUUAGUUAAAUUAGGAAGAUUUGAGUUAUUAUAUCACGAAUUAUGUCGGAUGUUGCAGUUAAAAAAUAUUAUCUCUUCAUAUCUUUUAACAAUGUUUUAAACUUUUAUUUUUGCUGUUGUCUUUUCUUAGAUACAACAUUAAAUUUAUCGUUCCAUCCACUAAGCAUUGUCUUUAUCGAAGUAAUGACUUUGGUUUUCUGCUGAGAAACCAUUGUCUCUUUCUCUUUCAAGAUAAAUACUAGCUGCAUAUAACAAUACAAUCGAAUACAUCCUCAUCAUUUAUCGUCUGAUGUUCUUUCUAAAAUGUAUUUGAUGGGCGGUCUCUACCCAAGACACGUCCUAUUCUGAGAUACUAUCCACCCCCAUUGGUCGAGGAACAUAUGUCUCUUAAAGAUACCCGCUUUUCUACCGAUUGACUCUCAGGUUCAAGAUCUGAAGCUCAUUUCUCAACAUUCCUUCCAGUUUUCUUGAGGUUCUCUCCACAUUUACAGAUCGGUGCUCUUUAUACAGCUGAUCUUAUUCAUACACAUCACAUGGUCAUACUAGCACAGUCGUCUGUCUUGCGUACUACAUACAUGUGAUAACUCUCGAUUUUUAUCUUAAAACAUGUCAGCAUUGUAUACCUGCACACUGACAGUGACCAUCCAGUGGAGCAUGCUGUUUCCAUUUUGUUCAAGACUUUACACGUCCUCUGUGUUCACAGCAUAUAUUUCCCUACUAUGUAGCAUACACAGCUGUUCAUACACAGGCUGCCCAUUGAUGAUCAGAAACUCCAACAAUAAUAAAAUAUAUAUUAUUAAUAUCUAGAUAUAAAAUAUUUUAUAAUAAAAUUUAAAAACCUUGAAAUAUUUAUUUCAGGGUUUCCCAAGUCUCAGAACAAGCAAGUCCAGACAGAGGCAUUUACUUCAAAAGAUGCAUCACAGCAAGUUG